AGCUUUAUGAAUUAAAUAUAAAGUUAUUUCUGCCCAGUGAUAUUUUAACGGCCGCAGUACCCUGACUGUGCUAAGGUAGCAUAAUAAAUUGACUUUUAAUUGAAGUCUAGUAUGAACGGGAAAAUGGGGGGGAUCUAUCUCAUUUCAAAUUAUAUUUAACUUAUUUAUAAGGUGAAAAUACCUUUAAUACAGAUAAAAGACGAGAAGACCCUUAGAAUUUUAAUUAAGUUGUAUUUUAUACUUUUUUUUUUGUUGGGGUGACAAAGUUAAUUUGAUAACUAACUGUUUUUUUUAGCCGGUACUAUUUACAUGAAAAGAAAAGUUACCUUAGGGAUAACAGCAUAAUUAUUUUUUUUAGAUUGUGACCUCGAUGUUGGACUAGGAGCUCUAUGAUAAGUAAUCAGAUGAGAGUGUUCUGUUCGAACAGGAAAUCCU
RNAcentral lists this ribosomal RNA (435 nucleotides) under Tayloria cf. amaniensis 'Usambara'. RNAcentral's name for it is "partial 16S ribosomal RNA". It matches the Rfam family "Bacterial large subunit ribosomal RNA", at positions 1817 to 2596 of the family's 2925-position model. The record is from RNAcentral. Lineage: Eukaryota; Metazoa; Mollusca; Gastropoda; Stylommatophora; Streptaxidae.